RNAcentral lists this RNase P RNA (448 nucleotides) under Pseudaminobacter sp. RNAcentral's name for it is "RNase P RNA component class A". It matches the Rfam family "Bacterial RNase P class A". Rfam says of the family: Ribonuclease P (RNase P) is a ubiquitous endoribonuclease, found in archaea, bacteria and eukarya as well as chloroplasts and mitochondria. Its best characterised activity is the generation of mature 5'-ends of tRNAs by cleaving the 5'-leader elements of precursor-tRNAs. The record is from RNAcentral. Lineage: Bacteria; Pseudomonadati; Pseudomonadota; Alphaproteobacteria; Hyphomicrobiales; Phyllobacteriaceae.
CCAGCUGGCUGGGCGGCCGCACGAGCAAACGCCGAAAGGCUGCUUGUGAGGAAAGUCCGGGCUCCAUGGAAACACGGUGCCGGAUAAUGACCGGCGGGGGCGACCCCAGGGAAAGUGCCACAGAAAGCAAACCGCCCCGCCUAUAAAUCGGCUCCAACCGAUUUGCUGUCUCGACGGUCGGGCCGAUUUAUUGGCGGGGCAAGGGUGAAAGGGUGGGGUAAGAGCCCACCGCGCGACUGGCAACAGGAGCGGCACGGUAAACCCCACCGGGAGCAAGACCGAAUAGGGAUGGUAUGAGGGGAAACCCUCAGGGCUGUUUCCGGCCCCGUCAUCCGGGUAGGUUGCGUGAGGCGCAUGGCGACAUGCGCUCAAGACGAAUGGCCGCCACGUUUUUGCGCCGCAAGGCGCAAGGGCCAUACAGAACCCGGCUUAUAGGCCGGCUGGCAAU